This 423-nucleotide ribosomal RNA is filed under the name Stenotrophomonas sp. SAM-B. RNAcentral describes it as "bacterial SSU rRNA". It matches the Rfam family "Bacterial small subunit ribosomal RNA", at positions 351 to 791 of the family's 1533-position model. Lineage: Bacteria; Pseudomonadati; Pseudomonadota; Gammaproteobacteria; Lysobacterales; Lysobacteraceae. The record is from RNAcentral.
GCAGUGGGGAAUAUUGGACAAUGGGCGAAAGCCUGAUCCAGCCAUGCCGCGUGAGUGAUGAAGGCCCUAGGGUUGUAAAGCUCUUUCACCGGGGAAGAUAAUGACGGUACCCGGAGAAGAAGCCCCGGCUAACUCCGUGCCAGCAGCCGCGGUAAUACGGAGGGUGCAAGCGUUGUUCGGAAUUACUGGGCGUAAAGGGCGCGUAGGCGGUUUGUCACGUCAGGUGUGAAAGCCCCGGGCUCAACCUGGGAUGUGCAUCUGAUACGGGCAGACUUGAGAGCGGGAGAGGAGUGUGGAAUUCCCAGUGUAGAGGUGAAAUUCGUAGAUAUUGGGAAGAACACCAGUGGCGAAGGCGACUACCUGGACCGUUUCUGACGCUGAGGCGCGAAAGCGUGGGGAGCAAACAGGAUUAGAUACCCGGGU